UUAUUUUAGUUGAAGACAGUCAUCAAGUUCGUGAUUUACGGAAAGUGAGAAUAUUUUUUUUUCUAACGCAAAAUUUGAUUUUGCUAUAGAAUUUGUGGCUAAAGAACUUCUUCGCUUUACUUGCCGCUAAGCAAAUUUCACAAGAAAUUUGACUCCAUUUUCAGAUAAACCAGUGGUCCUUAUUGCAUUUGCAAUUGCAAUUUUAUAAAAUGAUGAAGUCAUCAACAAAGGGUUUAUUGAUUUGCCUGUUGAUCGGGUUGUUCACGGGAGCAUAUUGUCAAGAUGCAGCUGUGGCAAAUACCAAUGGUUCUAGUGUUCCAGUAGUUCCGACAAAAGAUGAGGCUCCACCAGCAAUUGUUAAACCGGAUUCUGAUACAAAUGCAGUUCCACCAGUUACAACAGCACCACCUACAGCUUCAAACACUGUUACAACAAAAUUACCAGAUCCAACUACUACAGUUAAGCCUGAAGCUGAUACUUCACCUACUACUACCACAACCGACAAACCUACAAUUACCCCUUCUACAGUAAAACCCGACAAUACUACUGUUAAACCUGAUAAUACAACUACGAUUCCCACUACUACAAUAAAACCUGAUACUACUACAACUACAACUACUACGGUUAAACCAACUCCAAUUCCAACUACUACAACAGUUAAACCUGAUCCUACCACUUCUACUGUGAAACCCAACUCAACUACUACAAUAAAGCCUGAUACAACAACAACAGCACCAGAGCCACCACCAUGUCAUCGUUUUGACAGCUCUUCAUUUAUCGGGGGUAUCGUUUUGACUUUAGGUCUAUUGGCCAUUGGUUUAGUUGCCUACAAAUUUUAUAAGGCACACAACGAACGUAAUUACCACACCCUUUGAGCCGCCAAUGCUUUUACUUCGGCAUUCAAUGCAGCAGCUAGUGAAACGUCGGGGGUGAAUGAUAAUGGUGCCGAGUGCAUACGUUUUAUGCAACCGUCAUUUCCAUUGCGUUCACCUCCACCUCAACCACCGCCGACACAGUCAUCACCAACAGCAAGACAACGGCUGCUGCAUACGUAAUCCAAAAUAUAAAUGAAUGCAAGCAAGUAAAUUAAAAAAGUAAAAAUUUAAAAAAAAAAUAUAUAAAAAUAGAAAAACU
This is an RNA transcript of Teleopsis dalmanni, 1134 nucleotides long. It is a transcript of the gene named sialomucin core protein 24-like, with no coding region annotated. NCBI's taxonomy places the organism in Eukaryota, Metazoa, Arthropoda, Insecta, Diptera, Diopsidae. The record is from RefSeq and is a predicted model, not a curated record. The transcript has 3 exons.